This 424-nucleotide ribosomal RNA is filed under the name uncultured bacterium. RNAcentral describes it as "partial 16S ribosomal RNA". It matches the Rfam family "Bacterial small subunit ribosomal RNA", at positions 360 to 776 of the family's 1533-position model. The record is from RNAcentral.
AAUAUUGGACAAUGGGGGGAACCCUGAUCCAGCCAUGCCGCGUGUGUGAAGAAGGUCUUCGGAUUUGAAAGCACUCUAAGUUGGGAGGAAGAGUUGUAGGCUAAUACCUUGCAAUUGUGACGUUACCAACAGAAUAAGCACCUGCUAACUUCGUGCCAGCAUCCGCGUGAAUACGAAGGGUGCAAGCGUUAAUCGGAAUUACUGGGCGUAAAGCGCGCGUAGGUGGUUCGUUAAGUUGGAAGUGAAAGCCCCGGGCUUAACCUGGGAAUUGCUUUCAAAACUGACGAGCUAGAGUACGGUAGAGGGUAGUGGAAUUUCCUGUGUAGCGGUGAAAUGCGUAGAUAUAGGAAGGAACAUCAGUGGCGAAGGCGACUACCUGGACUGAUACUGACACUGAGGUGCGAAAGCGUGGGGAGCAAACAGG